This 429-nucleotide ribosomal RNA is filed under the name uncultured bacterium. Its description in RNAcentral is "bacterial SSU rRNA". It matches the Rfam family "Bacterial small subunit ribosomal RNA", at positions 29 to 448 of the family's 1533-position model. The record is from RNAcentral.
AACGAACGCUGGCGGCGCGCCUAAUACAUGCAAGUCGAGCGAGAAGACGUAGCAAUACGUUUGUAAAGCGGCGAACGGGUGAGGAAUACAUGGGUAACCUACCCUCGAGUGGGGAAUAACUAGCCGAAAGGUUAGCUAAUACCGCGUACGCUCCUUGGACUUCGGUUCAGGGAGGAAAGCGAUACCGCGGGUAUCGCGCUCUUGGAUGGGCUCAUGUCCUAUCAGCUUGUUGGUGAGGUAACGGCUCACCAAGGCUUCGACGGGUAGCUGGCCUGAGAGGACGAUCAGCCACACUGGCACUGCGACACGGGCCAGACUCCUACGGGAGGCAGCAGUAAGGAAUAUUGCGCAAUGGGCGAAAGCCUGACGCAGCGACGCCGCGUGGGGGAUGAAGGUCUUCGGAUUGUAAACCCCUUUCGGGAGGGAAGA